Caretta caretta (loggerhead turtle) is the source of this 3005-nucleotide non-coding RNA. The record is from RefSeq and is a predicted model, not a curated record. Lineage: Eukaryota; Metazoa; Chordata; Testudines; Cheloniidae.
GGAGAGACCAAGCAGAUACAUCUCCUGAAAAUAUAUCUGGAAUGAUCCAUCUAAAAUUACAGCAAUUAAAAUGCUCUAAGUGCAUUAACUCGGCGGAGUGCUUCCACAGUACCGAGGCAAGUGUCGACUCCCGGAGCGUUGCACUGUGGGGAGCUAUCCCACAGUUCCCGCAGUCUCUGCUGCUCACUGGAAUUCUGGGUUGAGAUCCCAAUGCCUGAUGGGGCUAAAACAUUGUCGCGGGUCGUUCUGGGUACAUAUCGUCAGGCCCCCGUUCCCUCCCUCCCUCCGUGAAAGCAGGAACAGACAAUCCGCUGAUGAGCUCUGCAUGGUCACCUCUGCUGAUGAGUUCUGCAUGGUCACCUGCAGCUUGCCACGCUGGCCAAACAGGAAAUGAGAUUCAAAAGUUCGCGGUUCUUUUCCUGUCUACCUGGCCAGUGCAUCUGAGUUGAGAGUGCUCUCCAGAGCAGUCACAAUGGAGCACUCUGGGAUAGCUCCUGGAGGCCAAUACCGUCGAAUUGUGUCCACAGUACUCCAAAUUUGACCCGGCAAGGCUGAUUUAAGCGCUAAUCCACUUGUCAGGGGUGGAGUAAGGAAAUCGAUUUUAAGAACCCUUUAAGUCGAACAAAAGGGUUUCAUCGUGUGGACGGGUGCAGGUUUACAUCGAUUUAACGCUGCUAAAUUCGACCUAAAGUCCUAGUGUAGACCAGGGCUAAGUGACCCUUACCUGAAUUUUGUGUAAAUCACUUGGUGGUGGCAGCAAUACCGUCCAAGGACAAGGAAAGGAAUUUAUGCCUUGGGGAAGUUUUUAACCUAAGCUGGUGGAAUAUGAGCUUAGGGGGUCUUUCAUGUGAGUCCCCACAUCUGUAUCCCAGAGUUCAGAGUGGGGAGGGGAACUAUGACGGAUAAAAAGAUUAUUUGUAUCUUCCUGAGGCUUAGCACGGUGGUUAGCGAGCGUGUGUGUCACUGUUCGCAGUUUGUCUCAUCAGGAAUGGUUCCUGGGGAUUGCACCUGGCCAGAGAGAACAGCCCGGCUCUUUGAUCUCUCUCCCCCACAUUCCAGUGGGCUCACGACAGACCCGUUCUUCCCCAAGGCAGAGACACCAGUGCGGAGCCCUGCCCUUUAUAGGCAGAGAUCAGAGAAAAGCCCAAUGAGAGCAGUGCCCUUCCCCUCAACCACAUCACCCCCCGGUGGGCAGAGUUUUCCCUCAUUCUGGGGGAGCCCCUCCCCAGCAGGCAGAGGGAAAGACAGGAAGGAUGACCGAAAAACAGACACACUCACAUUGUCCUCAGCUCAUUAGUCCUUGUGGAGGAGGGGCGCUCACAGCCCUGGCAGGAGGAUGCAGCUGCUGCCUCAGUUUCCCUCCUCGGUUGGGAGGAGCCAUUCACAUGAGGACUUAAGUUUACAAAAUAAAAGUUUCCCUUCUGGGAGCUGGUGUAUUAUUAUACAAAUAUUUAUGUACACACAUGUAUAUACACACACACACACGUCUAUGCUAGCACGUUCCAGCCAUCCCCUCCUGUCUGCGGCGUCUCUUCACACUCCCCCAGCACUCAGCAGGGCCUCCACAACAGCCCGUCUCGCUGUACAGCAGAGUUCAUGCGUCCAGGCUGCAGGGUUCACACCGGCCCCUUCACCGCAUGGCUGCAGGGGCCACAGCACCUCCCGAUGGCCCCAGCUGGUCCAUUAGCCUCUAGCCACAGCUCGGGCCAGGCUCCUGCCCUGGGCCCCCGACAGGAGGGACACAGCAGGCUGGGCUGCUCCCCUUCUCAUUUCCAAGUCAGAAGAUCCCUUCUCUGUGACAGAGAGCGAGCUGGGGGAUGCUGGCUAAUCAGCACCCUCACCCCAGUCCCCAAAUGGCCCAAUGGGUGCCAGAGGCUCCAAGGGGAGGAGACAUCAGAUGUCCUUCAGCAAGCGUCUCUCUUCCUUGCUGCUGGGGCUGUCCCCCUUCGCCAGCCCCAUCCAGUUCCCCAGUCACUGAGGCAGCUUGGGACAGCCCCGUUAAAAAGACAAGGCCCCGCCUCAUCCAGGUCACUGUCACUUUGCUCUGCCUUCUGGUUUCUCCGCUGGUUUGCUGCAGAUCCAGUGUCCCGCCCUGGAGCAGUCUGAACUGGCAAUUUCGCCAUUGUCCACAUAAGCACAUAGGCCUCCUCCCAAUAUCAUAAGCCUGUAACAGCAACAAAUAAUAAUAAAAAACCCUGCACAACUGUCAGAGCAGCUGUGAGGUUGCACUCCAUAUGCUUUAUGGAAAUAUGCUUAUGAGGGUGAAUAUGAUGGAAUAUGCAAAAGGUGUCUUGUAAGGUAUCAUAACAAAGUAUCAUAACAUACUGAAUAUAUUCCUCCUAUAUGUAUGCAUGUAUCAUUGUUGUAUCUGAAGCUAGAAAUAUGAAGUAUAACUCUGAGGUCCUAUAAUAAUUAUGCAAAGCGUGGGCCAUUAAUGGUGGUUUAGAAUCUUGAUGGCUCCCAAUGACUAGGACAAUUGGUGGUAAAUGGUUUAUUUACCUGCAAACCUUCCUGUGGAUGUGUGGGCCAACCCAGGAAGAAUGGAGACUAGGGGCCUUACAGUGAUGUGACCAUGUCACAUGGUAAUGGAGCCCAUCUUAAUCCUUGUACUUUUCCAUUGAUGAGGUGGGGAUGGGGACAAGCACAGACAAAAGAUUCCCACCUUGUGCCAAAGCUAUAAAAGUGGGUGGAGCAGGAGAAAGAGGGUGGCCAGUCAUGAGAAAACCCCUGCUUAUCAACUUAGAUGUCCGCUGCAACUAACAAGGACUGUACCAGGGGAAAGGAUUGGGCCCAGAGUAGGAAGGACUCUAGUCUGUGAAAGAAGCUUAUUGGAACAUCUUUGAGGGUGAGAUAUUACUUGUAAUCAGUUUCUUAAUGUAUGAGGCUUAAACGUGCGUGUUUGUUUUAUUUUGCUUGGUAACUUACUUUGUUUUCUCUGUUAUUACUUGAAACCACUUAAAUCCUACUUUUUAUACUUAAUAAAAUCACUUUUGUUUAUUAAUUAA